This 459-nucleotide ribosomal RNA is filed under the name uncultured bacterium. RNAcentral describes it as "partial 16S ribosomal RNA". It matches the Rfam family "Bacterial small subunit ribosomal RNA", at positions 338 to 795 of the family's 1533-position model. The record is from RNAcentral.
CCUACGGGUAGCAGCAGUGAGGAAUAUUGGUCAAUGGGCGCGAGCCUGAACCAGCCAAGUCGCGUGAGGGAAGACGGUCCUAUGGAUUGUAAACCUCUUUUGUCGGGGAGCAAAAGACGCCACGCGUGGCGUUCCGAGAGUACCCGAAGAAAAAGCAUCGGCUAACUCCGUGCCAGCAGCCGCGGUAAUACGGAGGAUGCGAGCGUUAUCCGGAUUUAUUGGGUUUAAAGGGUGCGCUGGCGGAAGAUCAAGUCAGCGGUAAAAUUGAGAGGCUCAACCUCUUCGAGCCGUUGAAACUGGUUUUCUUGAGUGAGCGAGAAGUAUGCGGAAUGCGUGGUGUAGCGGUGAAAUGCAUAGAUAUCACGCAGAACUCCGAUUGUGAAGGCAGCAUGCCGGCGCUCAACUGACGCUCAUGCACGAAAGUGUGGGUAUCGAACAGGAUUAGAUACCCGUGUAGUC